RNAcentral lists this ribosomal RNA (32 nucleotides) under Exophiala dermatitidis. Its description in RNAcentral is "partial 18S ribosomal RNA". RNAcentral also lists the same sequence under 6 other names. Lineage: Eukaryota; Fungi; Ascomycota; Eurotiomycetes; Chaetothyriales; Herpotrichiellaceae. The record is from RNAcentral.
UUUCCGUAGGUGAACCUGCGGAGGGAUCAUUA